RNAcentral lists this ribosomal RNA (462 nucleotides) under uncultured bacterium. Its description in RNAcentral is "partial 16S ribosomal RNA". It matches the Rfam family "Bacterial small subunit ribosomal RNA", at positions 28 to 507 of the family's 1533-position model. The record is from RNAcentral.
GAUGAACGCUGACAGAAUGCUUAACACAUGCAAGUCAUUGGCGAAGCUGCGCUUGCGCAGUCUAGCCAAGGCGGACGGGUGAGUAACGCGUAAGGAACUUGCCCUGCAGACAGGGAUAACAGACGGAAACGACUGAUAACACCUGGUAUUGUCAGGCUGGCGCAUGCCGGCCUGAUGAAAGGAGACGCUGCAGGAGAGCCUUGCGUCCUAUUAGCUAGUUGGUGGGGUAACGGCCCACCAAGGCGAUGAUAGGUAGCCGGCCUGAGAGGGUGAACGGCCACAAGGGAACUGAGAUACGGCCCUUACUCCUACGGGAGGCAGCAGUGGGGAAUAUUGGACAAUGGGGGCAACCCUGAUCCAGCAAUUCUGUGUGCACGAAGAAGGUUUUCGGAUUGUAAAGUGCUUUCAGCAGGGAAGAAGAAAGUGACGGUACCUGCAGAAGAAGCGACGGCUAAAUACGUG